RNAcentral lists this transfer RNA (57 nucleotides) under Calisoga longitarsis. RNAcentral's name for it is "tRNA-Glu". The record is from RNAcentral. Lineage: Eukaryota; Metazoa; Arthropoda; Arachnida; Araneae; Nemesiidae.
GAUUAAGAAGUGGAGUCACAUCAUUGUUUCAUGAUGAUAAUGUCUAGAUCUUUUUAU